AUUGAACGCUGGCGGCAGGCCUAACACAUGCAAGUCGAACGAGUGGCGGACGGGUGAGUAAUGUCUGGGAAAAUAGCUUAUGGAGGGGGAUAACUACGGGAAACGGUAGCUAAUAACGCAUACCAUAGGAUGUGCCCAGGUGGGAUUAGAUAGUAGGUGGGGUAAAGGCUCACCUAGUCGACGAUCCCUAGAUGGUCUGAUAGGAGGACCAGCCACACGGGAACGGAGACACGGUGCAGACUCCUACGGGAGUCAGCAGUGGGGAAUAUUGCACAAUGGGGGCAAGCAUGAUGCAGCCAUGCCGCGUGUAUGAAGAAGGCCUUCGGGUUGGAAAGUACUUUCAGCGGGGAGGCGUUACCCGCAGAAGAAGCACCGGCUAACUCCGUGCCAGCAGCCGCGGUAAUUC
This 406-nucleotide ribosomal RNA is filed under the name uncultured bacterium. RNAcentral's name for it is "partial 16S ribosomal RNA". It matches the Rfam family "Bacterial small subunit ribosomal RNA", at positions 30 to 526 of the family's 1533-position model. The record is from RNAcentral.